AUACGUAGGGGGCGAGCGUUGUCCGGAAUGAUUGGGCGUAAAGGGCGCGUAGGCGGCCCGGUAAGUCUGGAGUGAAAGUCCUGUUUUUAAGAUGGGAAUUGCUUUGGAUACUGUCGGGCUUGAGUGCAGGAGAGGUAAGUGGAAUUCCCCGUGUAGCGGUGAAAUGCGUAGAGAUUGGGAGGAACACCAGUGGCGAAGGCGACUUACUGGACUGUAACUGACGCUGAGGCGCGAAAGUGUGGGGAGCAAACAGGAUUAGAUACCCUGGUAGUCCACACUGUAAACGAUGAAUGCUAGGUGUAGGGGGGUAUCGACCCCUUCUGUGCCGCAGUCAACACAAUAAGCAUUCCGCCUGGGGAGUACGGCCGCAAGGUUGAAACUCAAAUGAAUUGACGGGG
RNAcentral lists this ribosomal RNA (398 nucleotides) under uncultured bacterium. RNAcentral describes it as "partial 16S ribosomal RNA". It matches the Rfam family "Bacterial small subunit ribosomal RNA", at positions 523 to 918 of the family's 1533-position model. The record is from RNAcentral.